UACGUAGGGUGCAAGCGUUAUCCGGAUUUACUGGGCUUAAAGGGUGCGUAGGCGGGCAGGUAAGUCAGAGGUGAAAUCUCCGAGCUUAACUCGGAAACUGCCUUUGAUACUAUUUGUCUUGAAUAUUGUGGAGGUAAGCGGAAUAUGUCAUGUAGCGGUGAAAUGCUUAGAUAUGACAUAGAACACCUAUUGCGAAGGCAGCUUACUACGCAUAUAUUGACGCUGAGGCACGAAAGCGUGGGGAUCAAACAGG
This 253-nucleotide ribosomal RNA is filed under the name uncultured bacterium. RNAcentral describes it as "partial 16S ribosomal RNA". It matches the Rfam family "Bacterial small subunit ribosomal RNA", at positions 524 to 776 of the family's 1533-position model. The record is from RNAcentral.